RNAcentral lists this long non-coding RNA (464 nucleotides) under Mytilus galloprovincialis (Mediterranean mussel). Lineage: Eukaryota; Metazoa; Mollusca; Bivalvia; Mytilida; Mytilidae. The record is from RNAcentral.
AUUUUCUAUACUGACGAAAGUAAAGACAGCAAUACCUCUGAAAUUUCAUUGAUUUGUUUCAAAAUAUAUUUUCACGAUUCACAUUUUAUAAUAUUUCUAAACAUGAGAAUCAGAACAUAAAGAUAUGGAUAUAACUGCCAAUGAGAUAACUUUCCACAAGUGACCAAUUGAUAGACAUCCAAAUGUCAGCAUACAUCCUUUAACAAUGAGCAAGACCCUAUACCGGAAAGCAAGCUAUAAAAAGGCCCUGACAUGACAAAAUAUAAUCAAUUUAAACGAGAAAAAUAACUGCCUGAUUUAUGUUCAAAAUUACAAAAAAAAAAAGAAAGAAAAAUAUUAUAUACAGCUUAAAAACGACAACCCCUGAAUUACAGGCUACUGACUUCGGAGGGACAUAUUCAAAAUGUUAAAUCUAGUUGUUAAUGGCAAACCAUCCUAACAUAUGAAGGGGUAUAACACCCAAC